RNAcentral lists this ribosomal RNA (374 nucleotides) under uncultured bacterium. RNAcentral's name for it is "partial 16S ribosomal RNA". It matches the Rfam family "Bacterial small subunit ribosomal RNA", at positions 46 to 392 of the family's 1533-position model. The record is from RNAcentral.
GGCCGCGGGAAUUCGAUUCAGGCCUAACACAUGCAAGUCGAGCGAGUGGAUUUCCUUCGGGAAAGAAGCUAGCGGCGGACGGGUGAGUAACACGUGGGCAACCUGCCUCAUAGAGGGGAAUAGCCUCCCGAAAGGGAGAUUAAUACCGCAUAAGAUUGUAGCUUCGCAUGAAGUAGCAAUUAAAGGAGCAAUCCGCUAUGAGAUGGGCCCGCGGCGCAUUAGCUAGUUGGUGAGGUAACGGCUCACCAAGGCGACGAUGCGUAGCCGACCUGAGAGGGUGAUCGGCCACAUUGGGACUGAGACACGGCCCAGACUCCUACGGGAGGCAGCAGUGGGGAAUAUUUAAGAAUGGGGGAAACCCUGAUGCGGCAACG